GACGAAUGCUGGCGGCGUGCUUAACACAUGCAAGUCGAACGGAAAGGCCCUGCUUUUGUGGGGUGCUCGAGUGGCGAACGGGUGAGUAACACGUGAGUAACCUGCCCUUGACUUUGGGAUAACUUCAGGAAACUGGGGCUAAUACCGGAUAGGAGCUCCUGCUGCAUGGUGGGGGUUGGAAAGUUUCGGCGGUUGGGGAUGGACUCGCGGCUUAUCAGCUUGUUGGUGGGGUAGUGGCUUACCAAGGCUUUGACGGGUAGCCGGCCUGAGAGGGUGACCGGCCACAUUGGGACUGAGAUACGGCCCAGACUCCUACGGGAGGCAGCAGCGGGGAAUAUUGCACAAUGGGCGGAAGCCUGAUGCAGCAACGCCGCGUGCGGGAUGACGGCCUUCGGGUUGUAAACCGCUUUCGCCUGUGACGAAGCGUGAGUGACGGUAAUGGGUAAAGAAGCACCGGCUAACUACGUG
This 468-nucleotide ribosomal RNA is filed under the name uncultured bacterium. RNAcentral describes it as "partial 16S ribosomal RNA". It matches the Rfam family "Bacterial small subunit ribosomal RNA", at positions 28 to 507 of the family's 1533-position model. The record is from RNAcentral.